Molecule: non-coding RNA, 1711 nt
Organism: Bactrocera oleae (olive fruit fly)
Lineage: Eukaryota; Metazoa; Arthropoda; Insecta; Diptera; Tephritidae
Source: RefSeq, a predicted model, not a curated record
UAGAAAAAAAUUUAUUAAAAAUAGGCCUUUUUUUAUCCGACGAAACCCAUGUAACCCAUUAAGGGAGGUUAAAUUAAAGGUCAAGCUAGCGGUCACCACUAAAAAACAAUGUGAUUACUGUAAUAAUAUUCGCUGUUGUUCGAAGGAGUUUUCUGCAUUUCUAGUGAUUAUUUUAUCGAUGUCUUCGAGAUAUUUGUUAUAGUAAGUAGUCGUAAAGCCAUAUUAAUAAACGCUUUAGGUGUAAUCCUACUGAAGUUCACCAAGCCUUAGGUCGUAACCUUCUCUCUACCGUCGACCACUUUCACAAAUUUUAAAAUAGCCAUUACAUAUACCCUAGGCUUGCUGCUGGGGGUUUCUUCGAUGAGAUUUGCCGUGGUUAUUACCUUGUGAUUCUAAAUACAUACUAUGUUUUUAUUCCUUUUUUAUCGUUCCUGGGUUUCCAGAGCUUAUAUAGGUCCAGUUUUUUGCAGUUUUUUUGGCUUUUUAAAUAAUUGGUAGACAUUAUCAACAUUAAUAUUGAUUGUGAAUAGAAUAUUAAUUUUGUGUUUUUUUUUUCUAUUUCUUUCAGGUGUUUCCUUUCCAGUGAAUCCCAUAAUAAGAGUUAUUAGUUAACAUAAAAUAUGUUCGGUUAUCGGUAAUCGUAGUUCGAGUGCGUGUAAUAUCCCGUAAAAAGUUCGCUAAUAUGCGUUCGAUAACAAAUUAAAUACGUUCGGUGAAUGCUGCAAUAUAAUCGGAAUUUAUAUCUCGUGAGAGUUCGGUUGACGUCGUUAGAGAUAAUAUAAAAUGUGUUCGGUUAUAGGUGUUUGUUUUACGGGUCGCUUAAAAAAUCGUUAGCAUGCAUUCGGUAAAUACUUAAAUUUGUUUAAAUCUAAUCGGUACUUAUAUAAUGUCAGUGUUCGGUUGUCGCCGUAAUGUGUUCGGUAGAAUAGUGUAAUUUGCUUUGAAAUGAAUUGUGGACUGUGUACCUUCGCAAAUUAUUCGCAUCGCACAGUAGCGGUCGGCGUUAAUCGCUUUGAUGACAACAAAAGAUACCUCGCCAACAAAGAGAACGUUCUAAACGUCAAAGCGCGCAACUAAACACACACACGCAUAAAUAUAUACAAAUAUACCCACUGGUAUUCACCAGUGUGUGUGUGUGUGCCAAAGGAGGAGAAUGUCGAAUUGUAAUCGAACAAUGCAAUGUAUGGUGGCAAGACGAUUUGCGAUUUAUAUGAUGAGUUCUUGGGAUUUUUUCCAACACAACAAAAAUUAGUCGCAGCAAUGACGCUCGCGAAUAUUAUUUCUCUUUUUGACUCAAUGCAUGGGAUGAAUCGUUUAUUGUGAACAAGAGUAAAAGUAAAGUCGUUCACCGCUUUCUUUAAUAUAGUAAUUAUUUAGUGAAAAAUUCAAUCUAUUGCGUAGCAAUGUUCGAGUAUAUAUCUUUUCAUUUAGUAUAUUCUAAAGUGCAAAGUGCAUUUCGGCAAUAUUUUUCUCGUGUAAGCAGUGUUUCGUUUGUGCGUAUAAUCAAAUCGUGUGUACAGUAAGAGUUCGAGGUUUUGGUAGAUAAAAAAAUAGUGUGAAAGUGUGUUCGGUUUUUGGUUCGGUUACGUAAUAAAUAACUCGUAUGUGGGUUGAAAAAGUGAAAGUAUUGUAGUUCUAAUAUUGAUAUCAGGAUUUGUAGAUGUAGGCGGAUUCAACAAAUGGCAAAUAACUCCAAAACCAAAGCGUUAUU